GCAGUAGCCACGGUAAUACGGAGGAUCCAAGCGUUAUCCGGAAUCAUUGGGUUUAAAGGGUCCGUAGGCGGUCUUGUAAGUCAGUGGUGAAAGCCCAUCGCUCAACGGUGGAACGGCCAUUGAUACUGCAGGACUUGAAUUAUUGGGAAGUAACUAGAAUAUGUAGUGUAGCGGUGAAAUGCUUAGAGAUUACAUGGAAUACCAAUUGCGAAGGCAGGUUACUACCAAUUGAUUGACGCUGAUGGACGAAAGCGUGGGUAGCGAACAGGAUUAGAUACCCGCGUAGUCCCUGUCUCUUAUAC
Molecule: ribosomal RNA, 302 nt
Filed under: uncultured bacterium
Lineage: Bacteria
Description: partial 16S ribosomal RNA
Rfam family: Bacterial small subunit ribosomal RNA
Source: RNAcentral